RNAcentral lists this ribosomal RNA (497 nucleotides) under uncultured bacterium. RNAcentral describes it as "partial 16S ribosomal RNA". It matches the Rfam family "Bacterial small subunit ribosomal RNA", at positions 28 to 507 of the family's 1533-position model. The record is from RNAcentral.
GAUGAACGCUGGCGGCGUGCCUAAUACAUGCAAGUCGAGCGAACGGACGAGAAGCUUGCUUCUCUGAUGUUAGCGGCGGACGGGUGAGUAAGACGUGGAUAACCUACCUCUAAGACUGGGAUAACUUCGGGAAACCGGAGCUAAUACCGGCUAAUAUUUUGAACCGCAUGGUUCAAAAGUGAAAGACGGUCUUGCUGUCACUUAUAGAUGGAUCCGCGCUGCAUUAGCUAGUUGGUAAGGUAACGGCUUACCAAGGCAACGAUGCAUAGCCGACCUGAGAGGGUGAUCGGCCACACUGGAACUGAGACACGGUCCAGACUCCUACGGGAGGCAGCAGUAGGGAAUAUUCCGCAAAGGGCGAAAGCCUGACGGAGCAACGCCGCGUGAGUGAUGAAGGUCUUCGGAUCGUAAAACUCUGUUAUUAGGGAAGAACAUAUGUGUAAGUAACUGUGCACAUCUUGACGGUACCUAAUCAGAAAGCCACGGCUAACUACGUG